This 77-nucleotide transfer RNA is filed under the name Desulfobulbaceae bacterium BRH_c16a. Its description in RNAcentral is "tRNA-Arg". It matches the Rfam family "tRNA". From Rfam's summary of the family: Transfer RNA (tRNA) molecules are approximately 80 nucleotides in length. Their secondary structure includes four short double-helical elements and three loops (D, anti-codon, and T loops). Lineage: Bacteria; Pseudomonadati; Thermodesulfobacteriota; Desulfobulbia; Desulfobulbales; Desulfobulbaceae. The record is from RNAcentral.
GCGCCCGUAGCUCAGCUGGAUAGAGCAACGGCCUUCUAAGCCGUAGGUCAUAGGUUCGAAUCCUAUCGGGCGUACCA